Alosa sapidissima (American shad) is the source of this 688-nucleotide non-coding RNA. The record is from the annotation of a RefSeq genome assembly. NCBI's taxonomy places the organism in Eukaryota, Metazoa, Chordata, Actinopteri, Clupeiformes, Clupeidae.
GAGGAGGGGCCAACAUGAGAAGACGUGAUGUGAAGGAUCCUGCUGAAGCAGAGGAGGAGGAGAGUCUGAGCUGAAGGAGCUCAAGCUGCUGCACUCUUUGUCUUGUUUGGAGCCUUGUUGAGUUCACUAUGCUGCUCUACUCAGUGCUACUCCUCACGGUCAGAGCAGGACUCGCUUAUGGAGAUGAGAUUACUCCAGACAGGACUGAGGUGUCUGAUGUGGAGGGAUCUGAUUUAACCCUUUCAUGCAGCUACUCCUCUUCAGUUUCAGUCUAUUUACUGUGGUAUCGACAGCAUCCAAACUCAACUCCCCAGUAUCUUCUAACCACUUACACUGUUGAUACAAAUGGCUUGAAAUCAAGCGUAGACCCCCGUCUGUCUGCAAGAAUGACUCAAGAGAAAGUCUAUCUGAAUCUCUCCUCUGCUGAACUCUCAGACUCUGCCCUCUACUACUGUGCCCUGCAGCCCACAGUGAAUGACAAACACACAUCCCCAUACAAAAACCUAUGACAGGAACAGACAGGCAGGCAUACCUUAUGAGUGCAGUUGUCAUUUAAAACUGAGGGAGUCAUAAUCAUAUUAUAAGACAAGAGCAGUGGGCUGAGGUUAUACAAUUAUGAAAGAUAAUUAAAACAUGUAUUUUAUUUACAAAACAAUCCCUGUCAUUCCCAUGCAGUUUUCAACAGCUA